This is a non-coding RNA of Ornithorhynchus anatinus (platypus), 138 nucleotides long. The record is from Rfam. NCBI's taxonomy places the organism in Eukaryota, Metazoa, Chordata, Mammalia, Monotremata, Ornithorhynchidae.
CCCCUCUCAGGGUCACACCUGGAGAGUUUCCAGUACUCUACCUGUCUUGACUAUGGAAGGGAAAGUCAAGCAGAGGCAUAUCCAUUCCAUUCCUAGCUUGGGCAGUGGCUAGUGAGUGGAAGGCAAUCUGCUACAAGU